This 287-nucleotide unclassified non-coding RNA is filed under the name Hevea brasiliensis (rubber tree). Lineage: Eukaryota; Viridiplantae; Streptophyta; Magnoliopsida; Malpighiales; Euphorbiaceae. The record is from RNAcentral.
AUUUUUUUUCCAUGAUAAGGUGUUUUUGUGAGAACAGGUUUGCCACUUGUGUUAAAAUCAUAAAAUCAUUUUUGUUUUUACAAAAACCUUCAUCAUGACAUGUGUUUUAUUACUGAGAACUAUUGCUUUAAAAAAACAAAGGAAUUAAUUGAAAAUACAAUAAUGAUGCACUAGGCAUGCAUCAGAAUUUUUUGUUGCUCUAAUUUUCAAUCUCUGUUUAUGAAACCAGUGUUCCGAAACAGGAAGCUGUGUCAUUGGGAUGUUUGUUGUAAGAAGUAAUAUAGGUG